AAAAGUAAAAUUUUUAUAUUGUUAUUAUUUUUAUUAAACGUAACUAUGGAAUCUUUAUCCGCGGCGAUAUUACUGGUUGAGGAGGAGAGCAGCGCAUCUCAGAAUGCUGGGGUGAGAAUUGAAAGGAGAAGAUUACGAGAUAUGUGCGAUCCCUUCCAGAUGAAUGACGGGCUAUUCAAAAAAACUUUCGUCUGAAUAAGGACGCAUUUAAGUAUGUCCUAGAUACGUUUGCGGAAGAAACGACGGCAAGUAAAUUUGAUGCUUCCUCUUUCCAAAUAGCCUGCACAUCUCCUUUAGGACGCUGGUGGAAACCGUUGGGUAUAUCUAGCUUACUCUCCAUCAUAUCUGCCAAUUUUCCAUAUUGCUCUGGUGUUGUUUUUGAC
Long non-coding RNA from Bactrocera dorsalis (oriental fruit fly), 383 nucleotides. RefSeq lists it as uncharacterized. The record is from RefSeq and is a predicted model, not a curated record. The transcript is spliced from 2 exons. Lineage: Eukaryota; Metazoa; Arthropoda; Insecta; Diptera; Tephritidae.